This 28-nucleotide small RNA is filed under the name Bombyx mori (domestic silkworm). RNAcentral's name for it is "ovarian small RNA-17155". Lineage: Eukaryota; Metazoa; Arthropoda; Insecta; Lepidoptera; Bombycidae. The record is from RNAcentral.
GCUUGAAUGCUUGAAUGAUGCUUCACGA